UGGUGGGUGUUGUGAUUGUGCCAUUUGCAUCUCAAUUCUUGGGUAAUUAUCAUAUAAUAUUUUAUGCUUUUGGGGAUUUCUGUGAUCUUUUAUUAAUUGGGGAUUUAUUUGGAGUUGAGUUCCAUAUGUUUAAUUGAGUGGGUUUUCUCGGUGGCGAUCGCGAGACGAUUAAUCUUUCGGCAAAUUAAGAUUUGUGAGGGUGCUGAAUUCGUUC
RNAcentral lists this long non-coding RNA (214 nucleotides) under Gossypium raimondii (Peruvian cotton). RNAcentral describes it as "long non-coding RNA (GRAI_LNC002228)". The record is from RNAcentral. Lineage: Eukaryota; Viridiplantae; Streptophyta; Magnoliopsida; Malvales; Malvaceae.